Molecule: long non-coding RNA, 574 nt
Organism: Triticum urartu
Lineage: Eukaryota; Viridiplantae; Streptophyta; Magnoliopsida; Poales; Poaceae
Source: RefSeq, a predicted model, not a curated record
CAACCGGUCGGUUGCUCCAGGAUGUAGCUUGGGAAGGUCAGACUGUUGGAGUUGUAGCAGUUGUAGAUUUCUUCAAGGCAAAAAUAAAGCAUUUGCACUUGGUGAUAUGAAAAAGAGGAUGGCACAGGUGAUGCAAGGAACUGACGACCUGUUUGCAGCGAGAAGGUGAGGCAGGAGCAGCCGCGCAUCUAAUGGCCAGUGGAGGGCGGCGAGGGAAGGCGGCGGUGUUUUCGUGCGGCGAGGUCGCCGUCCAGGAAGGCGAAGGCGAUGAUGUUUCUGAGCGGCAAGGGGAUAUCGGUGGGAUAUGUUUCUUGUUUUUGGAUUUGGAUUUGGAAGGUCUAUUAUUAUUUGUGGGAAUGGGGGAUACGUGAUUGUAGGGAUUGUAUUUGCUUUCGCGUGGAAGUUUUCCUCCACGGUGGAGUACGGUCAGUCAAUGUAAAUUAGUAAGUGCACACCAGAAAACAUAUCAGGUGAAGGCUAGCCGUUGGAUAUAGAUUAGUGGGGAUAAUCAUGCGGUAGUAGUGGGUCCGUGUAUGUUUUGUGAGGUGCGUUUAGCAAAGAUAAUGUUUGCUCU